UUUAUUUAACUGGCUAUGCCAAAGACCGCAGGAGCAAUUAGGGUUGCUUAAUUAACCUGCCGAGGUUGAAGCCUGAAUCAAGAUUUGAGUUUGUUGGGGAUUUGCUUCCUUGACAGCUUUUGAUCCUCUGCUUCAGCCCCGGCGAUCGCCAAGGGGCAUUUUUAUUGUGUGU
Regulatory RNA element from Synechocystis sp. PCC 6803, 172 nucleotides. It matches the Rfam family "Ribosomal protein L10 leader". Rfam says of the family: This family is a putative r-protein leader autoregulatory structure found in B. subtilis and other low-GC Gram-positive bacteria. It is located in the 5' untranslated regions of mRNAs encoding ribosomal proteins L10 and L12 (rplJ-rplL). A Rho-independent transcription terminator structure that is probably involved in regulation is included at the 3' end. Lineage: Bacteria; Bacillati; Cyanobacteriota; Cyanophyceae; Synechococcales; Merismopediaceae. The record is from Rfam.